AUCCAGGAUAGGCUGUGUCCAGCUGCAGGCCUAUUCUUGAUUACUUGUUUCUGGAGGCAGCUGACUGCACCCUGCCAGAAGCAAGUAUUCCAAGACAUUCCCCUAGUGCUUGCCCACCAUGUUUUCAUUUUCUACCCUGGGCCAUGGAAU
This is a microRNA precursor of Sarcophilus harrisii (Tasmanian devil), 150 nucleotides long. Ensembl annotates it as sha-mir-26a. Its record names the gene sha-mir-26a. The record is from Ensembl. NCBI's taxonomy places the organism in Eukaryota, Metazoa, Chordata, Mammalia, Dasyuromorphia, Dasyuridae.